Long non-coding RNA from Triticum aestivum (bread wheat), 1104 nucleotides. RefSeq lists it as uncharacterized. The record is from RefSeq and is a predicted model, not a curated record. The transcript is spliced from 2 exons. NCBI's taxonomy places the organism in Eukaryota, Viridiplantae, Streptophyta, Magnoliopsida, Poales, Poaceae.
CCCAAUAAAAAAAGAAAAAAAAACACCCCGGCCCAGGCUAAUCCCCAACCUCCCCACUCAUCAUGGGUCGAACCCAGCAACCGCCGUCGUGCCCACUCCCCAGAUCUCCCCGCCGCCGUGCGCCCUCCCCGGGCACCCGGCCGCCGCGCGCCAUCCCACGGCCCUCACCUACAUCCCGUCGCGCCUCCUCCUCUUCCCCUGCUUUCUUCCUCGGCGCCGUCCUCGGCCUCCACGCAAAGCAGCCGCCGCAUCGUGAUCCACCCAUUGGAGACACCCGCGCCCGUGCGCCGCCUAGGCCUUGCCGUUCCAGACCCCCGUGCCACUCACCGCCGGGAUUCGGCGACACGGCCGCCUCAAGCCUCCACCACUUGCCUCCGCUGCUCUCCGUGUUCCACCCUCCCCUCCGGUGAGCCUCCUCCUGACCUCAGCCUUCCUCUUCUCCUUCUCUACCUCCGGUGAGCUCUGCUUGAUCCUCCUGCUCGUUGCCGCCCCUUGCCACCUAGCUCCUCUUGUGCGCCGCCCGACCACCAUCUCUCCGGCCGCCGUUCUAAUCACCCACUGUUUCCACCUCUGUACUAAUCCAUCGUCCACCUCGUGUCAGACAUCGACAGCGACAUCAAACUGGGAAGUCAGGUGCCUCUCCUCCUUUCUCUCCCCUUUGCUGCUGAAAUGGAUGCUCAGUCCCUCCUCUACAUGUGUGUUUGAACUGCACAGCCCGGAGGUGCUCACUGCUGUACUCCGGCCAUCCUAUCCUGCCGGACAAGUUGGCCGCCCGCACCACUUCGUCGAGCGCUAGGGUUCUCCCAGUGUGAGAGCACACACAGGCAGCCGCACUUUGACUCCCCUACCCACAGGCUAGGAGAAGUCCAUGUAUUACUACUCGUGGGGAAUGUUCGCUUUGUAUAAAAAUAUAGAAAAUUAUGGAAGUUCGAUGCUAAUGCCUGUGAGGCGGAAGCUUUUUUCAUUUGUUUCUUUUUUGCAAGAUGAAACAUUUGUCAUUUUAUGUAAGCCAAAAAAAUUGUGGAUGUGAUAUGUGUGUGCGCGUGCGUCAUACACUGAAUUGAAAACUAUUUUUUGUCAUGUGUGUUUUCCAUAUUGGUUUCA